RNAcentral lists this ribosomal RNA (341 nucleotides) under uncultured bacterium. Its description in RNAcentral is "bacterial SSU rRNA". It matches the Rfam family "Bacterial small subunit ribosomal RNA", at positions 155 to 509 of the family's 1533-position model. The record is from RNAcentral.
AACUUCUGCUAAUACCGCAUAACGCAGCGGAGUCGCAUGGCUCUGCUGCCAAAGAUUUAUCGGUUAAAGAUGAGCUCGCGUCCCGAUUAGAUAGAUGCGGGGUAACGGCCCACCCAUGUCGACGAUCGGUAGCCGGACUGAGAGGUUGAACGGCCACAUUGGAACUGAGAGACGGGUCCAGACUCCUACGGGAGGCAGCAGUGGGGAAUAUUGGGCAAUGGGCGAAAGCCUGACCCAGCGACGCCGCGUGAGGGAAGAAGGUCUUCGGAUUGUAAACCUUAGUUGGCAGGGAAGAAGAAAGUGACGGUACCUGCAGAGAAAGCCACGGCUAACUACGUGCC